AAAUGGACCUACCUUGACUCUACGCAAAUUAUAUGGGUCGAUAAGAAAAUUUGAUCAUAAUAAAUUGAAAAUUAACAAACAAAAUAUUCAACCCGGCUAGCAACACUAUAUUAUUUCAAAAAAAUCAACUAGUUUGAUCAUCAAAAACUAUAUAUAUUGCUUUCUAUAUUUAAUUAAACACAAACAUUUGUUGGUAUCUUUUGUAGAUCAAAACGUUAUUUACAUUUUAGAAAUUAUGACUUUCUCUACAAGUAAAUUCAACACCAUUUUCAUUUUCCUCUAUCUUGUCCUUCUCUCUAUUUCCACAUGUGAGGCUACAGGAAGAUUUUGUGGAGCAGUAUGUAAAACAUGGUCAGGGCCUUGUAUUAAUAAUGCGGCCUGUAAUGUUGAGUGCCGUGAAUCGGAGUAUGCAAUAUUCGGUACUUGUGUAUACCUUGAUUGCUUCUGCUUCAUUGAUUGUUUUAUUCAGCCCUAAAUUUCAGAUCGAGCAUAAUUUCAUUUUGAUAAUUUCCGCAAAAUAAAAUACUCCCUCCGAUCUUAAAUAUAAGCAAAAAUUUAAAUGUAUUUGAUUCAAAUUUAAUUUUCUUAUACAUACUCCCCCUGACCACAAAAAUAAGAAAAAUGCACAUUUUAAAUUCAUUGAAGAACAUAUGUAUCUGGUGGUCUGUGUUAUAUAUAAUCCAGAUACAUCAAUUUUUCGAUGAAUCUAAAAAGUUCUAUUUUGCUAAUAAUUGUGACCGGUGGGAGUAUUUAAGAAAAUAAAAUACUCCCUCAGGUUCAUUAUUGAAGUAUAUGAUUCAGAUAAUAUAUUAUAGAUCCAUAUAUUAGUUACUCCUGUUUGAAUGAAUUUAAAAAAUGAAUCUUGUUUAUAUAUAGUAAGUGUUUAAAUGAAAUGAACUAAAAGUUAAUAUAAAAUAAACAUAUGUGCUAUUUUGUCCUAUCAUUCCUUUUGUAUGGAUAUAUUUUAAAAUUAUUUGUAUAAGUGGUGAAGUAGUAAAUUUUUAUUCAAUAUAUAUUAAUGCGAAUGUGAAUCUAAAGCUUUCCUCA
Trifolium pratense (red clover) is the source of this 1047-nucleotide long non-coding RNA. RefSeq lists it as uncharacterized. The transcript is spliced from 2 exons. The record is from RefSeq and is a predicted model, not a curated record. Lineage: Eukaryota; Viridiplantae; Streptophyta; Magnoliopsida; Fabales; Fabaceae.